AUGUUGAGAAAGAUGGCAAUCCUUUCAGCGCUGCUGGCUCUGAUUCUGGUUGAUCUGCUAAAGGCACAAGGUACCCCUGUUACCACUAAGUUUGAGGCAACAAGUGUAGAGCAAAGCAGAGAUCCCAGCAUGCAAGCAAGCACUGAGUCCCCCCUGGACUACAGCAGAGACCCAUACAAGGAGGAAGGCAUGGAACAAAGAGGGAACACUGGAGUGCAAGAAGGUGGACAGGGUACUUGGGAGCUGAGCGGAGAGCCAAGUACCGAAUCGACCCCCAAGCCAAGCGAGGAGCCAAGCAAAGAACCGACCCAGGAGUCAGCCACCGAAACAUCUGAAUGA
Molecule: long non-coding RNA, 339 nt
Filed under: Struthio camelus australis
Lineage: Eukaryota; Metazoa; Chordata; Aves; Struthioniformes; Struthionidae
Description: lncRNA (ENSSCUG00000011827.1)
Source: RNAcentral